Molecule: ribosomal RNA, 423 nt
Filed under: uncultured bacterium
Lineage: Bacteria
Description: bacterial SSU rRNA
Rfam family: Bacterial small subunit ribosomal RNA
Source: RNAcentral
AAGACCUUGCGCUUUUGGAGCGGCCGAUGCCUGAUUAGCUUGUUGGUAAGGUAAAAGCUUACCAAGGCUUCGAUCAGUAGCUGGUCUGAGAGGACGACCAGCCACACUGGGACUGAGACACGGCCCAGACUCCUAUGGGAGGCAGCAGUGGGGAAUUUUGGACAAUGGGCGCAAGCCUGAUCCAGCCAUGCCGCGUGAGUGAAGAAGGCCUUCGGGUUGUAAAGCUCUUUCAGUCGGGAAGAAAAGAUUGCGACUAAUAAUCGUGAUCAAUGACGGUACCGAAAGAAGAAGCACCGGCUAACUACGUGCCAGCAGCCGCGGUAAUACGUAGGGUGCGAGCGUUAAUCGGAAUUACUGGGCGUAAAGGGUGCGCAGGCGGUUUUGUAAGUCAGAUGUGAAAUCCCCGGGCUUAACCUGGGAACU